RNAcentral lists this unclassified non-coding RNA (391 nucleotides) under soil metagenome. Its description in RNAcentral is "partial contains 5.8S ribosomal RNA, internal transcribed spacer 2, and large subunit ribosomal RNA". The stretch from base 1 to 122 matches the Rfam family "5.8S ribosomal RNA", at positions 35 to 154 of the family's 154-position model. The record is from RNAcentral.
GAUGAAGAACGCAGCGAAAUGCGAUACUUGGUGUGAAUUGCAGAAUCCCGUGAACCAUCGAGUCUUUGAACGCAAGUUGCGCCCGAAGCCACUAGGCCGAGGGCACGCCUGCCUGGGCGUCACACGCCGUUGCCCCCCCAUCUACUCCUUCGGGAUUGCGGGGGGGCGGAUGAUGGCCUCCCGUGCGCCUAGCCGCGCGGUUGGCAUAAAUACCAAGUCCUCGGCGACGCACGCCACGACAAUCGGUGGUUGCGAAACCUCGGUUGCCCGUCGUGUGCGUUCGUCGCGCAUCGAGGGCUCGAAAAAAUGCUCGGCUCCGGCUGGGCUUUCAACGCGACCCCAGGUCAGGCGGGGUUACCCGCUGAAUUUAAGCAUAUCAAUAAGCGGAAGA